AGCAGCGUGGCUCAGUGGAAAGAGCACGGAUUUAAGAGUCAGAGCUCAUGGGUUCUAAUCCCAACUCUGCCA
Molecule: transfer RNA, 72 nt
Filed under: Ornithorhynchus anatinus (platypus)
Lineage: Eukaryota; Metazoa; Chordata; Mammalia; Monotremata; Ornithorhynchidae
Rfam family: tRNA
About the family: Transfer RNA (tRNA) molecules are approximately 80 nucleotides in length.
Source: Rfam by way of RNAcentral